UACAGAGGGUGCGAGCGUUAAUCGGAAUUACUGGGCGUAAAGCGCACGUAGUCGGCUUUGCAAGUCGGGUGUGAAAUCCGCGGGCUCAACCUGGGAACUGCAUCCGAGACUGCAUUGCUAGAGUAUGGGAGAGGGAAGCGGAAUUUCUGGUGUAGCAGUGAAAUGCGUAGAUAUCAGAAGGAACAUCAGUGGCGAAGGCGGCUUCCUGGACCAAUACUGACGAUCAGGUGCGAAAGCGUGGGGAGCAAACAGG
RNAcentral lists this ribosomal RNA (253 nucleotides) under uncultured bacterium. Its description in RNAcentral is "partial 16S ribosomal RNA". It matches the Rfam family "Bacterial small subunit ribosomal RNA", at positions 524 to 776 of the family's 1533-position model. The record is from RNAcentral.